Molecule: ribosomal RNA, 253 nt
Filed under: uncultured bacterium
Lineage: Bacteria
Description: partial 16S ribosomal RNA
Rfam family: Bacterial small subunit ribosomal RNA
Source: RNAcentral
UACGUAGGGUGCGAGCGUUGUCCGGAAUUAUUGGGCGUAAAGGGCUCGUAGGCGGUUUGUCGCGUCGGGAGUGAAAACACCGGGCUUAACUCGGUGCUUGCUUUCGAUACGGGCAGACUAGAGGCAUGCAGGGGAGAACGGAAUUCCUGGUGUAGCGGUGAAAUGCGCAGAUAUCAGGAGGAACACCGGUGGCGAAGGCGGAUCUCUGGGCCUUACCUGACGCUCAGGUGCGAAAGCAUGGGGAGCAAACAGG